Molecule: ribosomal RNA, 2903 nt
Filed under: Escherichia marmotae
Lineage: Bacteria; Pseudomonadati; Pseudomonadota; Gammaproteobacteria; Enterobacterales; Enterobacteriaceae
Description: 23S ribosomal RNA
Rfam family: Bacterial large subunit ribosomal RNA
Source: RNAcentral
UUAAGCGACUAAGCGUACACGGUGGAUGCCCUGGCAGUCAGAGGCGAUGAAGGACGUGCUAAUCUGCGAUAAGCGUCGGUAAGGUGAUAUGAACCGUUAUAACCGGCGAUUUCCGAAUGGGGAAACCCAGUGUGAUCCGUCACACUAUCAUUAACUGAAUCCAUAGGUUAAUGAGGCGAACCGGGGGAACUGAAACAUCUAAGUACCCCGAGGAAAAGAAAUCAACCGAGAUUCCCCCAGUAGCGGCGAGCGAACGGGGAGGAGCCCAGAGCCUGAAUCAGUGUGUGUGUUAGUGGAAGCGUCUGGAAAGGCGUGCGAUACAGGGUGACAGCCCCGUACACAAAAAUGCACAUGCUGUGAGCUCGAUGAGUAGGGCGGGACACGUGGUAUCCUGUCUGAAUAUGGGGGGACCAUCCUCCAAGGCUAAAUACUCCUGACUGACCGAUAGUGAACCAGUACCGUGAGGGAAAGGCGAAAAGAACCCCGGCGAGGGGAGUGAAAAAGAACCUGAAACCGUGUACGUACAAGCAGUGGGAGCCUCUUUAAUGGGGUGACUGCGUACCUUUUGUAUAAUGGGUCAGCGACUUAUAUUCUGUAGCAAGGUUAACCGAAUAGGGGAGCCGAAGGGAAACCGAGUCUUAACUGGGCGUUAAGUUGCAGGGUAUAGACCCGAAACCCGGUGAUCUAGCCAUGGGCAGGUUGAAGGUUGGGUAACACUAACUGGAGGACCGAACCGACUAAUGUUGAAAAAUUAGCGGAUGACUUGUGGCUGGGGGUGAAAGGCCAAUCAAACCGGGAGAUAGCUGGUUCUCCCCGAAAGCUAUUUAGGUAGCGCCUCGUGAAUUCAUCUCCGGGGGUAGAGCACUGUUUCGGCAAGGGGGUCAUCCCGACUUACCAACCCGAUGCAAACUGCGAAUACCGGAGAAUGUUAUCACGGGAGACACACGGCGGGUGCUAACGUCCGUCGUGAAGAGGGAAACAACCCAGACCGCCAGCUAAGGUCCCAAAGUCAUGGUUAAGUGGGAAACGAUGUGGGAAGGCCCAGACAGCCAGGAUGUUGGCUUAGAAGCAGCCAUCAUUUAAAGAAAGCGUAAUAGCUCACUGGUCGAGUCGGCCUGCGCGGAAGAUGUAACGGGGCUAAACCAUGCACCGAAGCUGCGGCAGCGACACUAUGUGUUGUUGGGUAGGGGAGCGUUCUGUAAGCCGUUGAAGGUGUGCUGUGAGGCAUGCUGGAGGUAUCAGAAGUGCGAAUGCUGACAUAAGUAACGAUAAAGCGGGUGAAAAGCCCGCUCGCCGGAAGACCAAGGGUUCCUGUCCAACGUUAAUCGGGGCAGGGUGAGUCGACCCCUAAGGCGAGGCCGAAAGGCGUAGUCGAUGGGAAACAGGUUAAUAUUCCUGUACUUGGUGUUACUGCGAAGGGGGGACGGAGAAGGCUAUGUUGGCCGGGCGACGGUUGUCCCGGUUUAAGCGUGUAGGCUGAUUUUCCAGGCAAAUCCGGAGAAUCAAGGCUGAGGCGUGAUGACGAGGCACUACGGUGCUGAAGCAACAAAUGCCCUGCUUCCAGGAAAAGCCUCUAAGCAUCAGGUAACAUCAAAUCGUACCCCAAACCGACACAGGUGGUCAGGUAGAGAAUACCAAGGCGCUUGAGAGAACUCGGGUGAAGGAACUAGGCAAAAUGGUGCCGUAACUUCGGGAGAAGGCACGCUGAUAUGUAGGUGAAGCGACUUGCUCGUGGAGCUGAAAUCAGUCGAAGAUACCAGCUGGCUGCAACUGUUUAUUAAAAACACAGCACUGUGCAAACACGAAAGUGGACGUAUACGGUGUGACGCCUGCCCGGUGCCGGAAGGUUAAUUGAUGGGGUCAGCCGCAAGGCGAAGCUCUUGAUCGAAGCCCCGGUAAACGGCGGCCGUAACUAUAACGGUCCUAAGGUAGCGAAAUUCCUUGUCGGGUAAGUUCCGACCUGCACGAAUGGCGUAAUGAUGGCCAGGCUGUCUCCACCCGAGACUCAGUGAAAUUGAACUCGCUGUGAAGAUGCAGUGUACCCGCGGCAAGACGGAAAGACCCCGUGAACCUUUACUAUAGCUUGACACUGAACAUUGAGCCUUGAUGUGUAGGAUAGGUGGGAGGCUUUGAAGUGUGGACGCCAGUCUGCAUGGAGCCGACCUUGAAAUACCACCCUUUAAUGUUUGAUGUUCUAACGUGGACCCGUGAUCCGGGUUGCGGACAGUGUCUGGUGGGUAGUUUGACUGGGGCGGUCUCCUCCUAAAGAGUAACGGAGGAGCACGAAGGUUGGCUAAUCCUGGUCGGACAUCAGGAGGUUAGUGCAAUGGCAUAAGCCAGCUUGACUGCGAGCGUGACGGCGCGAGCAGGUGCGAAAGCAGGUCAUAGUGAUCCGGUGGUUCUGAAUGGAAGGGCCAUCGCUCAACGGAUAAAAGGUACUCCGGGGAUAACAGGCUGAUACCGCCCAAGAGUUCAUAUCGACGGCGGUGUUUGGCACCUCGAUGUCGGCUCAUCACAUCCUGGGGCUGAAGUAGGUCCCAAGGGUAUGGCUGUUCGCCAUUUAAAGUGGUACGCGAGCUGGGUUUAGAACGUCGUGAGACAGUUCGGUCCCUAUCUGCCGUGGGCGCUGGAGAACUGAGGGGGGCUGCUCCUAGUACGAGAGGACCGGAGUGGACGCAUCACUGGUGUUCGGGUUGUCAUGCCAAUGGCACUGCCCGGUAGCUAAAUGCGGAAGAGAUAAGUGCUGAAAGCAUCUAAGCACGAAACUUGCCCCGAGAUGAGUUCUCCCUGAGACUUUAAGUCUCCUGAAGGAACGUUGAAGACGACGACGUUGAUAGGCCGGGUGUGUAAGCGCAGCGAUGCGUUGAGCUAACCGGUACUAAUGAACCGUGAGGCUUAACCUU